This 180-nucleotide non-coding RNA is filed under the name Syntrophobacteraceae bacterium. Its description in RNAcentral is "6S RNA". It matches the Rfam family "6S / SsrS RNA". From Rfam's summary of the family: E. coli 6S RNA was the first non coding RNA to be sequenced, but its function was unknown until recently. It consists of 184 nucleotides that fold into an extended hairpin structure with a large single-stranded internal bulge. The record is from RNAcentral. Lineage: Bacteria; Pseudomonadati; Thermodesulfobacteriota; Syntrophobacteria; Syntrophobacterales; Syntrophobacteraceae.
UAGCCCCUGCUGUGCUCGUGAUUGGUAGAAUGUCCCUGAGCCAACAUCGACAAAAAGGGAACCCCCUCUUGUUCCGGUGUGCACAUCAGGCAACUGAGAGCCUAAAGGAGUAACGGGGUACCCACCUUAAGAACAUCGGUUCUAAGACCACCUGCCGACACGGCACUAUGCGGGGGCAGU